This 422-nucleotide ribosomal RNA is filed under the name uncultured bacterium. RNAcentral describes it as "bacterial SSU rRNA". It matches the Rfam family "Bacterial small subunit ribosomal RNA", at positions 355 to 774 of the family's 1533-position model. The record is from RNAcentral.
UGAGGAAUAUUGGUCAAUGGGCGCAAGCCUGAACCAGCCAUCCCGCGUGAAGGAAGAAGGCGCUAUGCGUUGUAAACUUCUUUUCCAGGGGGAGAAUUUUUCCGUCGUGACGGGAAUUGACGGUACGCUGGGAAUAAGCAUCGGCUAACUCCGUGCCAGCAGCCGCGGUAAUACGGAGGAUGGGAGGGUUAUCCGGAUUUGUUGGGUUUAAAGGGUGGGUAGGCUGAUUGAUAAGUCAGUGGUGAAAGGCUGCUGCUUAGCUGUAGACUUGUCGUUGAUACUGUCAGUCUGGAGUGUAGUGAAGACAAGCAGAAUGUGUAAUGUAGCGGUGAAAUGCUUAGAUAUGACACAGAACACCGAUGGCGAAGGCUGCUUGCUGGGCCAUCACUGACGCUCAUGCACGAAAGCGUGAGGAUCGAACA